GAUGAACGCUGGCGGCGUGCCUAAUACAUGCAAGUCGAGCGAACAGACGAGGAGCUUGCUCCUCUGACGUUAGCGGCGGACGGGUGAGUAACACGUGGAUAACCUACCUAUAAGACUGGGAUAACUUCGGGAAACCGGAGCUAAUACCGGAUAAUAUAUUGAACCGCAUGGUUCAAUAGUGAAAGACGGUUUUGCUGUCACUUAUAGAUGGAUCCGCGCCGCAUUAGCUAGUUGGUAAGGUAACGGCUUACCAAGGCAACGAUGCGUAGCCGACCUGAGAGGGUGAUCGGCCACACUGGAACUGAGACACGGUCCAGACUCCUACGGGAGGCAGCAGUACGGAAUCUUCCGCAAUGGGCGAAAGCUUGACGGAGCAACGCCGCGUGAGUGAUGAAGGUCUUCGGAUCGUAAAACUCUGUUAUUAGGGAAGAACAAAUGUGUAAGUAACUAUGCACGUCUUGACGGUACCUAAUCAGAAAGCCACGGCUAACUACGUG
RNAcentral lists this ribosomal RNA (497 nucleotides) under uncultured bacterium. Its description in RNAcentral is "partial 16S ribosomal RNA". It matches the Rfam family "Bacterial small subunit ribosomal RNA", at positions 28 to 507 of the family's 1533-position model. The record is from RNAcentral.